UACGUAGGGGGCGAGCGUUAUCCGGAUUCACUGGGUGUAAAGGGAGCGUAGACGGCCAUGCAAGCCAGGGGUGAAAGCCCGGGGCCCAACCCCGGGACUGCCCUUGGAACUGCAUGGCUGGAGUGCGGGAGGGGCAGGCGGAAUUCCUGGUGUAGCGGUGAAAUGCGUAGAUAUUAGGAGGAACACCAGUGGCGAAGGCGGCCUGCUGGACGACAACUGACGGUGAGGCGCGAAAGCGUGGGGAGCAAACAGG
RNAcentral lists this ribosomal RNA (253 nucleotides) under uncultured bacterium. RNAcentral describes it as "partial 16S ribosomal RNA". It matches the Rfam family "Bacterial small subunit ribosomal RNA", at positions 524 to 776 of the family's 1533-position model. The record is from RNAcentral.